GCAAUGAAAUCAAUUCUCCAGCCAGCUGGCGUUUUGACCGGCUUAAACUUUAUUUUGAAUGAGGAAAUUGUUCUAGCCUAUAACGUCGAUGGGGUUCAAGGGAAGAAGGCCUUAGGACCCACAAAGAAUUGCAGCUUUGCUAGAAUGUAUUCCGCCUGGCGAUGAGCCUCCCGAAAACACUGUGCGGAAGGCAAUGCAAUUGAUGAAGAAAAGGGUGUUUAAGAAGAAGUGUCUUGCCAAAAACCAGGAGUAGGCUAAGCAUCAUAUAAUUAAAAAUUAUUCGUUUUAAUGAAA
Molecule: long non-coding RNA, 294 nt
Organism: Drosophila persimilis
Lineage: Eukaryota; Metazoa; Arthropoda; Insecta; Diptera; Drosophilidae
Exons: 2
Source: RefSeq, a predicted model, not a curated record